AGCAGACUCUAUUUGUUCUGUCUCUCUAACCCCAGGAUUUCCGGCAGUUAUAGUUGGAUUAAUAGCAGCUAUAAGACCAAGUACCUUUGAUAUGGGAAAGGCUCAGUAUGAGGACAUCACGUGUGGCUUAUUAAACUUUACCGCUGAGAUACAACAAACCAGAUGCUGGAUAAACGGAAGUCUGUGGAUUUAUAAAGGACCCAUCUUAGCCAUACUUGUGGCAAAUAUGGUAUUGUUUGCGAUACUUCUUCGU
Orbicella faveolata is the source of this 253-nucleotide long non-coding RNA. The record is from RefSeq and is a predicted model, not a curated record. Lineage: Eukaryota; Metazoa; Cnidaria; Anthozoa; Scleractinia; Merulinidae.